GUUUGCGGCUCAAUGGUAGAGCACUUGCCUAGCAUGUGUGAGGCACUGGGUUCAAUUCUCAGCACCACA
RNAcentral lists this transfer RNA (69 nucleotides) under Marmota monax (woodchuck). RNAcentral describes it as "tRNA.Ala". Lineage: Eukaryota; Metazoa; Chordata; Mammalia; Rodentia; Sciuridae. The record is from RNAcentral.